RNA transcript from Labrus mixtus (cuckoo wrasse), 578 nucleotides. It is a transcript of the gene named diacylglycerol kinase zeta-like, with no coding region annotated. NCBI's taxonomy places the organism in Eukaryota, Metazoa, Chordata, Actinopteri, Labriformes, Labridae. The record is from RefSeq and is a predicted model, not a curated record. The transcript is spliced from 3 exons.
CGUUACAGAAAAACUGCAGGGGGAGACGGUCCUUCACCGAGCUGCGUCCCUGUGUCAAAGAACUAUCUGUCAUUAUCUGGUUGAAGCAGGAGCCUCGCUCAUGAAGACAGACCUACAGGAGGAGCUGUGCCGGCUGCAAACGGAGAACCAGCUGGCCAAGGAGGAGGUGAAGGAGGUGCUGCAGGCGCUGGAGGAGCUCGCCGUCAACUACGAGCAGAAGAGGCAAGAGGUGGAGGAGAGAGAUCAGACCAACCUGCAGCACGAGACGGUACAGAUAUGUUUCAGGAGAAAGUGUUUAAAGUCUGCAUCUUGACUUCUGCAUCAUCAUCAUCAGCAGUGACGUCAACACAGCUGAGAAACUACUUCAGUUAGAAGAGUCAGAUUUGAUACACUGAAGCAGACAUGAACAUUAACUCACAGCUAACACAUCACACCACAUGUUCUGUCCAGACUGCUGAAUGAUCAGAGGGAAAACCAAACAUUCAAUCAUUCAGCUUAACCAACAAGGCAGAUCCAGGUACCGGCCGCAGCGGGACUCGAACACCAUUUAAAGUGUCUAAAGAGGGUAGUGUUGUAGU